Molecule: unclassified non-coding RNA, 358 nt
Filed under: soil metagenome
Description: partial contains 5.8S ribosomal RNA, internal transcribed spacer 2, and large subunit ribosomal RNA
Rfam family: 5.8S ribosomal RNA (bases 1-120)
Source: RNAcentral
GAUGAAGAACGUAGCGAAAUGCGAUAAGUAGUGUGAAUUGCAGAAUUCAGUGAAUCAUCGAAUCUUUGAACGCACAUUGCGCCCCUUGGUAUCCCGAGGGGCAUGCCUGUUCGAGCGUCAUUACGCCCCUCAAGUCCCCUGUGGACUUGGUGUUGGGGAUCGGCGAGGCUGGUUUUCCAGCACAGCCGUCCCUUAAAUUAAUUGGCGGUCUCGCCGUGGCCCUCCUCUGCGCAGUAGUAAAACACUCGCAACAGGAGCCCGGCGCGGUCCACUGCCGUAAAACCCCCCAACUUUUUAUAGUUGACCUCGAAUCAGGUAGGACUACCCGCUGAACUUAAGCAUAUCAAUAAGCGGAGGA